GGACAAUGAAGGAAGCGACUCUACUCUUACUUUGCUGGACAACAAUUCAAGUGUGUAACCUUUACUGUCUACUAAUAGCUGAUGAUGGAGGAGAAGACAUAAAGAAGAAGUCAGGCUGGAUCCAGGCAGCAGUUCUGACUCCAGUGCUUUGCUGCACAACAAACCAAG
Molecule: long non-coding RNA, 168 nt
Organism: Oreochromis aureus
Lineage: Eukaryota; Metazoa; Chordata; Actinopteri; Cichliformes; Cichlidae
Exons: 4
Source: RefSeq, a predicted model, not a curated record